RNAcentral lists this long non-coding RNA (235 nucleotides) under Hordeum vulgare. Its description in RNAcentral is "long non-coding RNA (HVUL_LNC001172)". Lineage: Eukaryota; Viridiplantae; Streptophyta; Magnoliopsida; Poales; Poaceae. The record is from RNAcentral.
CGGCCUGACCCUUUUGUGUGGCGCCCGACACCUAGGCGCCACACUGUACUGUGUGACGCCUAGAGGUUCGGCGCCACACCCCCGACCACGUGGCAGGGAGGGGCCCACCCCCAGGCAGUGUGACGCCUAAGCCUCAGGCGUCACACAUUGUAAUGUGUGGCGCCUAACGCUUAUGCGCCACACAUUGACUUAUACAGCCACGAGCCAGCCCCCCUCCCCACCCCCUCCCUCAUUC